Non-coding RNA from Delphinapterus leucas (beluga whale), 2650 nucleotides. The record is from RefSeq and is a predicted model, not a curated record. Lineage: Eukaryota; Metazoa; Chordata; Mammalia; Artiodactyla; Monodontidae.
GAGCGGAGCUGGUUGAGCCUUCAAAGUCCUAAAACGCGCGGCCGUGGGUUCGGGGUUUAUUGAUUGAAUUCCGCCGGCGCGGGAGCCUCUGCAGAGAGAGAGCGCGAGAGAUGGACAUGGACAAACGGAUUCAUUUAGAGCUGCGGAACAGGACGCCCUCUGAUGUGAAAGAGCUUGUCCUGGACAACUGUCGGUCAAAUGAAGGCAAAAUCGAAGGCCUCACAGAUGAAUUUGAAGAACUGGAGUUCUUGAGUACAAUCAACGUAGGCCUCACCUCAGUCGCAAACUUACCAAAGUUAAACAAACUUAAGAAGCUUGAACUAAGCGAUAACAGAAUCUCAGGGGGCCUGGAAGUAUUGGCAGAAAAGUGUCCGAACCUCACGCAUCUAAAUUUAAGUGGCAACAAAAUUAAAGACCUCAGCACAAUAGAGCCACUGAAAAAGUUAGAAAACCUCAAGAGCUUAGACCUUUUCAAUUGCGAGGUGACCAACCUGAACGACUACCGAGAAAACGUGUUCAAGCUCCUUCCUCAGCUCACGUAUCUCGAUGGCUACGAUCGGGACGACAAGGAGGCCCCCGACUCGGACGCCGAGGGCUACGUGGAGGGCCUGGAGGAUGACGAGGAGGAUGAGGAUGAGGAAGAGUACGAUGAAGAUGCUCAGGUAGUGGAAGAUGAGGAGGACGAGGAGGAGGAGGAGGAAGGUGAAGAGGAGGAUGUGAGUGGAGAGGAAGAGGUGAGAGGUUGGGCUGGGCAGGGAACCGUCUCUCAGAGCCCCCCUCACCUACCCUGCUGCCUCUGAGUCAGUCCCACUAACUGCCUCAGUGAUCCGCCUCGGCAGCCGGGAGCCCUGGCUGGGAAUUGAACCCACUUCAGGGCCUGUUACUGGGUUGGUCUGGGAGAGGCAAGCCUUGCAGCUGGCCCUGGAAAAGAAAGAGGGAGGGGAUUCAUCUGCUGGGGCAAGCCUGGCACUUGUUUCCACAUGAAAAUUAGUUCCUGUAGAAUCCACAUCCCCUUUUUCUACCUCUUUGCAUUAGUAUGUUAAUUCAGAUAUUCAGUGAGCACUGACAGUGUGCUAGGGAAAAUCAAAGACUGCCUUGAACUGGUGGGUAAUAGGAUAAGACGCUGCUGGAUUCCACAUCAGAGGGUGACAAGGGUCCCCUGUACACAGUGGAUAGUGCCAUUAUCCAAACACUGUCUGGCAUCAUUUUUUAACAAGGUCUGGGAUGUGUCUGUGACGGGGUGGAUCCCAGCUUCUACCACUUGCUAGCUGGGUGUCCCUGGACAAGUUCCUUGACCUUCUGAACCUAUUUCCUCAUCUGUACAAUAGGUGUCAUUUUACAGCUGGGUUGUAAAUAGGGAUCAACUCACUGGCUUAAGAGGAUAAAGUAAUUUGUAAGUAAAAUGUUUAAGGACAAGGGAGUGUUUGCCCACUUACUAUUUUAGGCUUUCACACCCUUCUCCCAGGUCCUGGCUCUGUGUGCUGGGUUUUGUGUUUGGACGUUCUGAGUCUUUCUAUAGCAGAGUCAUUUUCCCUGGCUUUUUAGAUUUCUAAAUCAACUCUUGCUAAUUGCAAAACUUAGACCGAGAGAGGUUUAAAAUGAUGACAGCAUGGAUAAGGUACCUGCCUUCUCCCCCAGUUCCCUGUCUCUCUCCAUCAAGGGCACAGAUACCUGUCUGCCACACAGACCUGCUCAGGCGGGAUCUCCCAGCCAGCCCCCCACAAGCUGGGGAGAGGCAGGUCGGGGUUAGUGAGAAAACUGGUGAGAUAGGCCUGGUUCCCGUCAAGUUGUGCUGCUGGGUGUCUCUUCUACCCAGGUGUAGGCUGCUAGGCUCACCUCUGAAGAAUAUUGUGUAUUUUAAAAAUAGAGACCUAGCAGAAUAGGCCCCCCCCUAGGACAGGGCAGUAAGUCUUGCUGGCUAAUGGAUUUUUCGUCUUGCUCUUCCUGUCAGGAGCCGCCAACAUGUAGAGGUUGUUUUUGGUCUGGGGUCGGUUUUUUGUUGUGGUGGUGGUUUUAGUAAUCUCACUGAGUAUCUGCAAAUUUCCAGCUUCCAGUAAAGGAGCGCUCGCGCACACGCGCACACACACACACACACACACACACACACACUCUCUUAGCAAACAGACUGAUUAAGGAACUAUUUGGUGACAUUAUGAAAGGAUAUUUCCCUUGACAAAAAGAAGUCUAUUGCCAAGUUCUUAUUAAACAGUGGGCUGCCUGGUACUUUAGGAACAGUAUUCAUGCAGAGAUUCAACUAGCCUGGAUCUACCGGACCAGCGUGAAGCGUGGUCCUGUGUUGAGGGUGAAUUCACACCCCUUGCUGAAUCUCACGGAGCUGGGAGUGAUGUCCUGGGCAGGGGGUGAGAAUUGUAUUUUUCCUCCCUCCAAGUGACCCAAGUUUGCAAGACGGUGAAGGGGCUGCACUCACCCACAGACUGGGGUCUGGACUGGGGUCUUCUCUUGAAGCCAAAACUAGAGUGAGGACAGAUGAAAGCUCGGCCUACUUCACACGAUGGAGAGUCGGCUGGGAAACUUGUUCCCCUAGGAGGGCACACUGCGGAGCUGCCUGAGUUAUAGGGACUUCAGGAGGAUGAGGAAGGUUAUAACGAUGGGGAAGUAGACGAUGAGGAAGAUGAAGAGGAGCUUGGUG